CUUUCUUUGCUGGCGACCGGCGCACGGGUGAGUAACACGUAUCUAACCUGCCCUUUACUCGGGGAUAGCCUUUCGAAAGAAAGAUUAAUACCCGAUAGCAUAAUGAUUCCGCAUGGUUUCAUUAUUAAAGGAUUCCGGUAAAGGAUGGGGAUGCGUUCCAUUAGGUUGUUGGUGAGGUAACGGCUCACCAAGCCUUCGAUGGAUAGGGGUUCUGAGAGGAAGGUCCCCCACAUUGGAACUGAGACACGGUCCAA
Molecule: ribosomal RNA, 254 nt
Filed under: uncultured bacterium
Lineage: Bacteria
Description: partial 16S ribosomal RNA
Rfam family: Bacterial small subunit ribosomal RNA
Source: RNAcentral